AAAUUUAAUUUACAGUGACACGUGGGCCCACGAACGACCAAAAGUAUCAAAAGCGGUAAACCUACAGUUUUUGAGGAUGCAAGUCCAACUGUAGCCCUCAACAAAGUGAGUUAUCUACCGACUAUCCUGAGCCUGAAAUGGGUGAAAAGAAGGGUGGUGAGAUUAUAUAAUCCCAGUGAGUAAACAAAUACCAUCUAAAAUAUCUAAAACUGAGUAAAUGGAGACAGAUAAAAUAGUUUAACAUAUUGUAAUUCAUCACCUUUCAACUCAUUUCAACCAAAUAAAAUCAAUUCAUAUAAAUUGAGUAAUCAACAUGGCUUAUGAAUUUCUUAAAACUUUGACUCGUGCCAAAUUCAUUUUCAUACUCAGUUAUCGGGGAUACCAUGGUCAAGGGCUAUCCCAAUCGAGUCUGCCAAGGUUGUUAAAAAGUUAUGUACGCAUAAAUCAUGUUUUUAUUUUGAAAACAUAGUCGUUCCUUGGCGUUAGCUGAGUUCACCCUUACGUGGUGGUUUGGUGUGAAGUGAACUCUAUAGUUUUAACCUUAGGAGUUAUCCAACCACGCCUCUCAUACUGAGGUAUGAACAUAAUAGGGUUACCGUGCCCCUCUAAUAGGCUGGUCCAUGGAACCUGUCCACUGCAGCGACCAAUAUAUAACCCACCAAUUCAAUAAAAUUCAAUAGCAUGACAUGGUAAUUAUUUUAUUUUACAGCCUCUCAAGGCAAAUUAACAGUUCAUUCAUUUUCAACACAAAUACCAAUUCAUCCAUUCAUGAAAUUAUUAUCAUAAGCUAUUCAAUUCAAACCAUGAUUUAUAACACAGCAAUUAGUCUCUAAUUACUCGAUUUUCAAAAUCAUCUUUUAAUUUCAAGACAAUUUUAUAAAAUCAUUUUUAUUUAAUCACAUUUUGCUUAUAAAACAUAAAGAUUUACCAUUUAAACUCAUUUUCCAUAAAAUCACAAAAUCAGAUAAAAACCACUUUAGAUAAUUAAGACGAUAGUAAGGUUACUCACUAUUUUAGGAGUCAAAUUUUGAGUACUCCGAUUCUUGAUCCUCGGGUACUAUUUCUUUACUUUUGCUAGAAAGCUCACCACCUAGACAUAAUGCACAAUAAGCCAUUUACUAUAUUUGUGCUAAACCAUUGUCAAACCAAUUCAGGCUUUAUACUAAUGCAUGAAAUGGGAUGUGAAAUACUCGGCUAACUAUCUAAAUACGGUGUUCAAUAUAAAUUCAAUUAUGUACCUAAAUAAAAUGGUAUUGGCCUAAUUCGAUCUAUCACCCGAUUAAUUGGCCAAUACAUCCAAUUUAACUCCAAUUAACUCCAUUUUUUCUUCCAAUCCUCCAAACCAUCAAACACAAGUCAAAUAGCAUAAAAUUUAGCAAAAUCAUCCUCACAUUUCUUCUUGAGAAUUUCGGCCAUGGUGAGUGCAUCAACACUAUGAUUUUUCCUACUUGAUUUUCUCACCAUAAUUCAUCAUUUCCUAACCAAUUCACUUGAAAUAAAAUCAAAUCCACCAUCAACACUCUACAAGGAAGAUUCGGCCAAUGAUGAACUCAUGAGGAAUAUGUGAAUUUCAAGCUUAAUUCUUACACUUAACACCAUAAACAACUAAAAACAUCCAUAUAUCUUAAAAAUCUAUCUAAAUCAUCAUCAAAUUCUCUCUUCUAGGGUUUGAUCAGUACACUAUCCUUCAUGAUAUCUUGUGAUUCAACCAUGGAAAAUGAAAUAUAAUGCAUAGGAAAGAUAGAUCACAAGCUAGAGUUAAGAAAUUUCACCUUUAAUGGCUUGAUUACUUGAAAUCCACCAAUUUUCUCUUGAAUUUUCACUCUAGGGUUUUUGUUCUUCUUUUCUUCUUUUGUUCUUGCUAUGGCCGGCCAUAAGAAUGAAUGUGGAAGAGUUCAAAUUGGCUUUAUAAAGGAAAAUAUUAAAUGGACAAAAAUUUACCAUGUGUUACCAUUCCAUUGGUCCAUGUAUCAUACUUACCCAUUAAGCAAUCUCUCUCCACCAUAUAAAUUUCCUCAAUUAUCCAUGAUAAUAUUGGGUAAAAUCCAUGUGCUGGACAAGUGUUGGGUGGUGUAAAAUUACAAUUUUGCCCUUAGGGUGGCAAAAUGACUAUUUUACCCUUAAACUUAGAAAAAUGCCAAAAUUAAAAUUUUUCACUUCUCAAACUCAAAUUAUGUUCUAAAUAGUCAAUCUUGAUCAAAAACUUCUUCCAACAUUCCAAUUUUAACCUCGGGUGGCAAAAUAACUAUUUUACCCCUAGGUUAUGAAAAUUCCAAUUUGACUCAAAAUCGGUCCUCGAACUCCGAAUCACCAUUUUAAGUCAUUUUGAGGUUUUAAAAUUCUCAAUUUCAUCUUAAAAUCUCUAUUUGGACUAGUUCGAGGCUUAAUUCAACUUAAUUGUACCAUUUGGUACAAUAUCGCCUUUUAACGAUUUCUAAGGUACCCAAGUAAGCAAACAUGCAUUCUUAUGUAGGAAUGGCAUAAUAAACAUAUUGUAGAGCUGGGCUUAAUAGCACUGCCCCUCUUAAAAUAAAAUUUUGACCUCAAAAUUUCAUUUACUGAACUCAGAGAAAAAGUGAGGGUAUUGUUUUCUCAUCCAAUGCUCGACUUCUUAUGUCCUCCCCUUUAUAGGAAAUUUCGAUUUGUUCACCUCAUUUACCUCCAAUUUAACUCAAGUACUUCACUUAUGUCUAUUAUUAUCCUUUAAAAUCAGAUCAACAGUAACCUUCACAAUUAUGAUCUCUUAUAUCGAGACACCAAACAUGCUUCUAUUACUAUCAUUAAACUUGAACCAUAACUCCAUCUCAAUCAUACCAAUUUCAAUCGCAUUUUAUACUUAUUUAGGUAUACAAAUCACUAUCUUAUUACUUCAUUCCAUAUCAAAUUUCUUGACUUUCAUUCAUUCAUCUUAUCCUCAUACACUAUUGUGUAGUUUACGGCAUCAUUAACAUGCCAUACUCAUUCCUGUACAUAUCCUUAGCGUUAAGGAAGAUUAAUGGUUUUAAUUAUUUCCACAUAUUUCAUGUUUACCUUGUAUUUAGGAAAUUCCAAUCUUCUUAAUCCUAUUAGUCCAUCUCAUAUGGCUUAAUUGCACUAUAGAUUACAUUCCCUUAACUAUUUUCCCAAAAUUCCAUAGGUUACCAUAAAUCGACUUCUGAUAAGAUUCUUGAUCGUUACAUUACCUAUACACUCAUCAAAUAUAUUGAGUUCAAAUCUCAAACCACUAAAACCAUUCUUCAUUUUAGUUGGGUACAUCACUAACUCCACACAUACGUAUACACGCACAUUCAAAUGUCCAUAUUCCUCAUUAUGUAUACAGGUCUUUGUUUUCAAAUGCCUUCAGACUAAUUUCUCUUUGUUCAUUCCCAUCCAUAACCAAGAUUCAAUAAAAUAAUCUUCAUAAUUCAUACAAAUUCUCAUCAUGCAUAUGCAUAGUUCCACAUCAUUUACAUACUUAUACUCUCUUCUUAUCAUUUCCAAUUAUAUGCUUAAGUUUCCUUAUACUAUAUAUCAUUGCAUCAGAAUGUCAUCUCCAUUGAAUUAUAAUCUAUUAUGCGUGUAUGCUUUAUAAUCCCAUUGAUACUUCAAAAAUUUUCCUUGACUUGAUCAUUGCAUGUUAUGCAAUACCAUAAUUCCUAAGAGUCAUCCUUAUUCCUCGAUUAUCUUUCAUGCCUCUUACAUAUAUUGUAUCCUUAUUGCAUUCUGAUAUUAAUUUGUCACUUAAAACUCAGACUCAUUUGAAUCAUGUAUGCCUCAAGCAUUUUCGAAUUCCAAUUUUACAUAAUAUAUUAGGAAAGUUUCAUUAUCCGACUUCAUUAUCAAGGUCAACUUCUAUCAUCCUUUGUUCCAUUCUUUCAUACGAAUAUAACAUCAUUCUUCCUAAACCAAUUUACAAAUUGUACUUAAAAUUACAAGACUUGAAACUAGAUUCUUCUCAAGUACUUUUCAAUAUUAAUACUAAUAUCACUCUCAGCUUAUAGCUUCCUUUUUAUAACCACAUAACUUAGUGUUUGCUUUCACGAAAUCCAUGGCAAAACUUCUCUUGAGUAUUUCCUUGGGGAUAUCUAUCUUAAACUUAUGUCUCACAACAUGUGAUCACUUAACCCGUAACUUAGCCAUUUAUGUGGCAUCUCCUUCAGGGCCCACUCCAAGGUAUUGUUAUGUCUAGAUCACCAUCACUUGACUUACUUGGAACCCCGCACCUAAGGGCAGUACGACAAGCCCUGCAAGACCUUCUCAUCAAGUUUCGAACCCUAGACCUUUUGUUCCCCCCCCCCCCCCAAAGGGAAUGCCUUUAACCAUUUCAACUUUAACUCAUUCAUAUCGAUACCUUCCAAAACCUUAAAACUCCAGUUAACAAAACUUAGAAUCAAGUUCAAUGACUUUAGUUCAACUAAUAAGUUCAACUUCACAUCUGUCUCAUUUUAUUCAUGCGUCCUAGACAUGAAGUGUUCUUAGCACCACAGCAUGGUGGCUGUUGGAGUUUACUUAAUCAAUGUUAUUCAUCUAUAUUUAAGGUUACUACACUAGUCAUUUUCAACCAUUUGGUUUCCCUCCAAGCUUACGUCACAAUUUCCAUAACCAUUUAUAUCCUUUUGUGCUUAUCACAUAUAAUAGGUAAAGUCAAUAUUUUCAAAUUCAUCUCAUUCUAUAACACUUGUCAACAAUUAAUAAAUCCCACUUUAGAAUACUCUUUCCAUAUUGUAUAGUAACUUCACCAUAUAGUAUCACAGCAUUAUGUUCCUCCAUUCUACUAUCAUGCAUACUCCACAGAAAUUAAUUAAAAGAUUUACGUACCUUAACUAAUGCUAAUUCCAUUUAAUCAUAUCUUAAAUACUCCAAACUUGUAAAUUACAACUCCAAGUGUAUGUCCAUAUAUUGAUAAUCUAUAUAUAUUUCAUGAUCAUGAAAACUACAACUUACAAACUAGCUUUCUAUCACAUGCACACUAUUAGAACAUUAAUUUCAACAUGUUUAAUUCUCCUUUGGUGGUACGUUAAGAUCAUUCCUGGAUACAUUUCCAUAUUAACAUUUAUAUGCCUUUACCAUAGCAUUUAGUGCAAAUUUGAUGAAGGAAUUGUCUUCAAAUAACUCUUAAAUACAAAAUUAUCAAAUUGUAUACCACUAAAUGUUAAGAUCUUGACUUUAUUCAUCAAUAACCAAUCACAUUUAUUAAGUGAAUAAUUUACUUAGUUAUUACCCCUUGCCUUUGCGAUCAUAAGAUCAAAGUUUUCCUAAACUUAGGAUGCAGAAGUUCUCUCUCUUAGAGUAUAUCCAAACAUCAACAUUUUCUAAAUUCCUUACUCUGGGGAGAUCACCUUCAAGACUGAUCAUUCGUAUCAUAGGCCACACUUUGAACUGAAUAAACUUUUAAAUUGAUCUUUCAAGUAAUUCGUAUAUCAGUCUCAAUUAUAGACUUCAUAUGGCACUUAGACUAGAUUCAACAUUUCCAAGUCAUUUAACCUCAAGCUGCCAAUUCCACAUCUAGUCCUUUAAUCCCUUGGCUCCCCCUGCUAUGCGUAGCAAAGUUCAAGCUCAUCCUUAGAGCAAAUUUGUUUACUAACUUCUUACUUCAUGACCACACAUCAAUUAUAGUAAUCAUUGAUACUCACUCUCGAGUUAAUUCACGUGCUUAUAUCCAUGAACUAUAAUAGGUCCAAUCAAUUCUUGAAAUCUCACAAUCGCUUAAUUGAAAUCAACACUAGUUCCCUCUAAGUUGCUGUACCUAUUCAACACAUAUUCACAUAUAAAAUAUUUCAAAAUCCCAACACCACUUUUAUAUAGGCAUAACAAGCUCCAUUAACAUAGUGUUCUUAUCUUUAUGCACAUAAGUAUGGGUUUACUCUUACCUCAAUGCUUAAUUUAUACACUCCAAGUGAAUUACAACCAUCACUAUUCAUUCUAAUCAAAAGUGCGCCCUUUAUUACCAUUAUCACACAUGCUCCUUUAUAUUAACCCCAAUACAAUCCAUAGUCUCCAAAUCUUUUUUCAAUUGACAACCAUGAGUUCAAUUAUAACUCCACCAAAUGAAUAAAUUAUCACGGCCUAUUAGUUUAACUCAAAAUUUCUCCAUCCUUAAUCGGAGGGAUAUAUCAUUUCAUUAAUCUUUCAUUAGGAGCAUUCGUUUUAAGAUCUGUCUAACGCUGGCUCGUGUCACAGGUGGCAUCUUAAACCCGGACAAUGACCUUACUUAUGACCUUUGCAUGACAUUAACAAGAAAGUGGAUUACUGGGAACAAGAGUUCAUAUAGCUCCCUGUCUAUGACUUAUGCUCCCAUAAGAUCUAUAAGAAGAAACAUAACGAGUCUAAACAACACCAAAUUCUAUAUGCAGAGGCACGUAUUCUAUUCUAUCAAACCUAACUUAACUUAACUUAACUUGGGCCACACUGACACUGUAGUUUUUAAAACAACUUAAAAACAACUUUAAACCCAAAACCUCUAAUCUUUAAAACCAAAAGCUCUGAUACCACUCUAAUUGUCAAGACCCGAUACUCCCCUCAAGCCUGUGACAACCGCCGCGGUGUCUCGAUCGACACUCAUUACCAAGAAUGUCAACCUGAACCCCGCAAGGCUUUAAUAUUAGUUUCUCAUUUCCCCUAUGAGUAACUGUUGCCAAAUAUCAUGUUCUAAAAGAUUUUAAGCUAUUUCCAACUUAAAUCAAUAAAAAAAAUGAUUUAUGUCUCAUAGGGGCAUUUUGGUCAUUUUUCCUUAAAAAUUUCGAAACCAGCUAAAAAUAUAGUAUGCGAGUAUAAAACACAUAUUUUAUAAUCAAAAAUAAGUUUAGAUGUCUAAAACAUUCAUUUAAAAUGAAAUUAUGACUAUUUAAAUAUAAUAAAAAUAUUCAAUAAAAUAUUCUAUUUUCUUAUAAAACAAUAUUUAUAGAGUUACCAGUAAAUAAUUUUUGUAGCGCAAAAGCUAAAUAAAUUCAUACCUACUGUAAUACAGAUAACCAAAGUAUAAAAUUUAAUUUGCAGUGACACGUGGGCCCACGAAUGAUCAAAAGUAUCAAAAGCGAUAACCUUACAGUUUUUGAGGAUGCAAGUUCAAUUGUAGCCCUCAACAAAGUGAGCUAUCUACCGACUAUCCUGAACCUGAAAUGGAUGGAAAUGAGGGUGGUGAGAUUAUAUAAUCUCAGUGAGUAAACAAAUACCUUCUAAAAUAUCUAAAGCUGAGUAAAUAAAGAUAGAUAAAAUAGUUUCACAUACUGUAAUUCAUCAUCUUUCAACUCAUUUUAACCAAAUAAAAUCAAUUCAUAUAAAUCGAGUAAUCAACAUGGCUUAUGAAUUUCUUAAAACUUUGGCUCAUGCCAAAAUCAUUCUCAUACUCAGUUAUUAGGGAUACCUUGACCGAGUGCUAUCCCAACCAAGUCCACCAAGGUUGUUAAAAAGUUAUGUACGCAUAAAUCAUGUUUUUAUUUUGAAAACAUAGCAGUUCCUUGGCGUUGGCUGAGUUCACCCUCACGUAGUGGUUUGGCAUGAAGUGAACUCUAAAGUUUUAACUUGAGGAGUUAUCCAACAGCGCCUCUCAUACUGAGGUAUGAAUAUAAUAGGGUUACCGUGCCCCUCUAAUAGCCUAGUGCACGGAACCCGUCACUACAGCGACGAAUAUAUAACCCACCAAUUCAAUAAAAUUCAACAGCAUGACAUGGCAAUUAUUUUAUUUUACAGCCUCUCAAGGCAAAUUAACAGUUCAUACAUUUUCAACAAAAAUACCAAUUCAGCCAUUCAUGCAAUUAUUGUCAUAAGCCAUUCAAUUCAAACCAUAAUUUAUAACACAACAAUUAGUCUCCAAUUACUCCAUUUUCAAAACCAUCUUUCAAUUUCAAGACAAUUUUAUAAAAUCAUUUUCAUUUAAUCACAUUUUGCUUAUAAAACAUAAAGAUUUACCAUUUAAACUCAUUUUCCAUAAAAUCACAAAAUUGGAUAAAAACCACUUUAGAUAAUUAAGACGAUACUAAGGUUACUCACUAUUUUGGGAGUCGAAUUCCGAGUACUCCAAUUCUUGAUCCUCGGGUACAAUCUCUUUACUUUUGCCAGAAAGCUCACCACCUAGACAUAAUGCACAGUAAGCCAUUUACUAUAUUUUUGCUAAACCGUUGUAAAACCAAUUCAGGCUUUGAAAUGGGAUGUGAAAUACUCGGGUAACUAUCUAAAUACGGUGUUCAAUAUAAAUUCAAUUAUGUACCUAAAUAAAAUGGUAUUGGCCUAAUUCGAUCUAUCACCCGAUUAAUUGGCCAAUAUGUCCAAUUUAACUCCAAUUAACUCUAUUUUUCUUCGAAUCCUCCAAACCAUCAAACACAAGUCAAAUAGCAUAAAAUAUAGCAAAAUCAUCCUCACAUUUCUUCUUGAGAAUUUCGGCCAUGGUGAGUGCAUCAACACUAUGAUUUUUCCUACUUGAUUUUCUCACCAUAAUUCAUCAUUUCCUAACCAAUUCACUUCAAAUAAAAUCAAAUCCACCAUCAACACUCUACAAGGAAGAUUCGGCCAAUGAUGAACUCAUGAGGAAUAUGUGAAUUUCAAGCUUAAUUCUUACACUUAACACCAUAAACAACUAAAAACAUCCAUAUAUCUUAAAAAUCUAUCUAAAUCAUCAUCAAAUUNNNNNNNNNNNNNNNNNNNNNNNNNNNNNNNNNNNNNNNNNNNNNNNNNNNNNNNNNNNNNNNNNNNNNNNNNNNNNNNNNNNNNNNNNNNNNNNNNNNNNNNNNNNNNNUCUUAAAUAUCUAUCUAAAUCAUCAUCAAAUUCUCUCUCCUAGGGUUUGAUCAGCAGACUAUCCUUCAUGAUAUCUUGUGAUUCAACCAUGGAAAAUGCAAAAUAAUGCAUAGGAAAGAUAGAUCACAAGCUAGAGUUAAGAAAUUUCACCUUUAAUGGCUUGAUUACUUGAAAUCCACCAAUUUUCUCUUGAAUUUUCACUCUAGGGUUUUUGUUCUUCUUUUCUUCCUUUGUUCUUGCUAUGGCCGGCCAUAAGAAU
Molecule: long non-coding RNA, 8969 nt
Filed under: Theobroma cacao (cacao)
Lineage: Eukaryota; Viridiplantae; Streptophyta; Magnoliopsida; Malvales; Malvaceae
Description: long non-coding RNA (TCAC_LNC000445)
Source: RNAcentral